Vigna unguiculata (cowpea) is the source of this 2997-nucleotide unclassified non-coding RNA. The record is from RefSeq and is a predicted model, not a curated record. Lineage: Eukaryota; Viridiplantae; Streptophyta; Magnoliopsida; Fabales; Fabaceae.
CUCCAUUUUGCUAAUUCUUGGUUCCCACUCACUCACUUAGUGUCCAAAUUAAAACCUAUUUUUGUAAGGCUCCCUCUUCUCGAUUCCGUCACCACCUACGAAACCCGCUCCGUCUUCUCGACACCAUCACCACCUGCGAAACCCACUCCAUCUCGACUCCAUCACCACCUGUGAAACCUGCUCAGUCUCCACUCCAUCACCACCUGUGAACCCGCUCUGUCUUCGCGACUCCAUCACCACCUGUGAAACCCGCUCCGUCUUCUUGACUCCAUCACCACCUGCGAAACCCAUUCCGCCUUCUCGACUCCAUCACCACCUACGCAACCUCUGCUUCGUCUUUUCUCGACUCCAUCACCACCUGCGAAACCCUUCACACCGUCUAUCGUUAAUCGGCCAGGGACUUACCACCGUGGUCGUCGUGCCGUCAUCAGUUCUCGUGGUCGUCGCGCGAUUCACCUCUUCGUUGCACGAUUCAGCCUCAUCGUCGCGCAUUCACCUUCGUCGUCGCGCCCUCGUGCAGGAUGCUUGAUGAUAUUUUUGACUGAAGUCUUUUGAUUUUCACCUAAUACUCUUGUUUAGGAAGAGAUGGUGAAGGCUAAGUUUGAGGCAGCUGUCAUAGAAGCAGAGUUGAGCGCGAUAUUUCAUAUCAGUAGAAUCAUAAAACUUAAGGAAAGAGAGUUAGAGCAUCUCUUGCAAAGGUGUUGGUGAAGACAAGAGGAUGAAGAAUGAUAAAAAAAUUCCAAAUGGGCAGCUUCUUUCCAAAAUUGAAGAAUAUGAAACUUCAGAGUAUGAAGAGUCUAAGUAAGAUAUGGAAUCCGAAACUUCCUUCAGACUCCUUUAGCGAACUAGACACUCUAAUCAUUGAAGAGUGUCACAAACUUGUAAAUGCAAUGGAGAGAAUAUUUGGGAGUCUAUGCAACUUGAGAGUUAAAAAUUGCAGGUCCAUGGAAGCAAUAUUUAAUAUAUGUGAGAAAGUUGGGGAUGUAGCUAAUAACUUGCAAGAUGUUCAUUUAGAAACACUCCCCAAACUGAAGCAUGUAUGGAAAAUGAAUAAUAAAGACCAGGUAGGGAUUCCUAAGUUUAACAAUCUGAAGAGGAUAUUGGCUAAAGAUUGUGACAGCUUAGAAUAUAUAUUUCCAUUUUAUGUAGCCAAUAGUCUUGAUAAUCUUGAAUCUCUUGUGGUUUGUGGUUGCUAUGGAUUGAAUAAAAUUGUUGUCGAAAGGGAAGCCACCAACAUGGACAUAGCCAGAUUUAACUUUCCUAAACUAAGCACCAUCAAAUUUUCAGAACUGCCAAAACUAACGAGCUUCUAUCCAAUAACUUAUGACUUAUCAUGUCCAUUGAAAGAGCUGUCUAUUGAACUUUGUAACAAUCUGGAACCAUUCAACGAAGGAACCCAGCAUGGACAAGGAAAUCAUGUACGUGUAUUCUUCUUUCCUGAAGAGGUAAUCAAUAACUUGAAGUCCAUGCAAAUUGAUUCUCGGUGUGCAAAGUCAUCAAGCAGUUCUAUGGAUAAAAGGAACCAUCAAAGGGACAACUUAGAAGAACUUUCCUUGUCUAGAUUAAUAGAUAGUGAGAUUUUAUAUUCUUUCCUAUAUAGAAAUCCUAAUUUGAAAAGUCUAUCAUUGAAUAAUUGUUUCUUUGAAAAGAUAGUGCCUCCAAAGGAAGAUACUGAAAUUGAAAACUUUGGAAUAAUACCAAAUCUGAAAAGCUUGAUGUUGAUAGACUCGCCGAAUCUCGAAGAGAUAGGAUUUGAACAAGACAUAAUUCUUGAAAGGUUAGAGUUAUUGAUUUUAAAGAACUAUCCUCGUAUGAUUAUCAUAAUACCUUCCUCUGUAUCUUUUACUCGCUUGACAAAUCUAGAAGUGGUCAAUUGUGAUGGAUUGCAAAGUCUAAUGUCAGCAUCUACUGCAAAAAGUUUGGUUCAACUUAACACCAUGAAGUAGUGAAAUGUCAAUCCCUGAUGGAAAUAGUAAGAAAUGAUGGAGAAAAAUCUGACAGAGUUAUUUUUCAACAAUUGAAAUCCCUAGAGCUGGUUUCACUGAACAAACUCAAGAGUUUUUGUGUCUCUAAUUGUGACUUUGAAUUUCCAUCAUUGGAGAAAUUAGUAGUGAGUGCAUGCUAUAAUAUGGCUAAAUUUUCUGAAACAGUCACCAGCUCACCAAUUUUACAAAAUGUACAUGUUGUACAUGGAAAAGACAACAAACGAUUCUGUUGGGAAGGAGAUAUAAAUGCUACGAUACAAAAAAUAUUCAAGGAAAAGAAUUUUUUUGAAGGCAUGGAGAUGAGCUUUGCCGAACAUCAGAACUUCAACGAACUUUGCCGAUGUCCCCAAUUGCAAUAUUUAUUUACAUCUUCAGUCGUCAAAAAGUUAGUGAACCUAGAAGAGAUCAUUGUGGAAGAAUGUGAAUCACUGAAAGAAAUAGUGGCCAAAGAGGAAGAUGAAGAUGAAAAUGAGAUGAUAUUCAUGAAGCUUGAGUAUUUGACUCUUAUCUCAUUAGACAAAUUUGAAAGCUUUUACACGGGGAAUUCCACUUUGAAUUUCUCAUCCUUGAGAGAAGUGAUGGUUAACCAAUGCCUCAGUACCAAAAUUUUCCGUCCUCGUGAUAAAGUUCCUCCGAGAUUCAGGGUGGUAAUAGAUGGAUUCCCUUAUAAAGGUGAUAAAAAAACCUCUUAUCAUGCAACAGUUUGAGGAGAAGGCAUCGUGAGUUAGUUCGUAGACAAAUUCCUUUGACUUGAAAUCGCUUAUGGUAGGUACCCUUGAAAACAUGUUUUCUUCUUUUUAUCAAGCACGCCAACAAAGAAGACAUGGAAUCUUACAAAUCGGUGAUGCAAAUGAGCUCGAGUCUUUUAUGGGUACAAGAGGAUCAUCUGGUGGUAGCAACAUUUAGGGUGUUGAUGAUGUUUUUUAGGAUGAAACUAUUUUAGUGUAUUAUGAACUUUGAGUAAGUAUAGAUUAAGUUGUAAUUGUUUCAAUUUAAAUUGCUUUUAUGUUAA